UGGGGAAUAUUGGGCAAUGGACGCAAGUCUGACCCAGCGACGCCGCGUGCGGGAUGAAGGCCUUCGGGUUGUAAACCGCUUUCAGCAGGGAAGAAGCGAAAGUGACGGUACCUGCAAAAGAAGCACCGGCUAACUAUGUGCCAGCAGCCGCGGUAAUACAUAGGGUGCAAGCGUUGUCCGGAAUUAUUGGGCGUAAAGAGCUCGUAGGUGGUUCGUCACGUCGGAUGUGAAAAUCUGGGGCUCAACCCCAGACCUGCAUUCGAUACGAGCGAGCUAGAGUUUGGUAGGGGAGACUGGAAUUCCUGGUGUAGCGGUGGAAUGCGCAGAUAUCAGGAGGAACACCAAUGGCGAAGGCAGGUCUCUGGGCCAAUACUGACACUGAGGAGCGAGAGCGUGGGGAGCGAACAGG
This 409-nucleotide ribosomal RNA is filed under the name uncultured bacterium. RNAcentral describes it as "bacterial SSU rRNA". It matches the Rfam family "Bacterial small subunit ribosomal RNA", at positions 355 to 776 of the family's 1533-position model. The record is from RNAcentral.